CUCCGUUUCCUUCUCCCCAGUGUCACAGUGGUACAUUUGUGCGCACCUCGUGCACAAAACCGAAGCUCGCCGUGCCUUUUUCCUCCACCUCCUCCUCAUUCAUCAGCACCUGCACCUUUUUUUUUUUCGUCAACAAUACGCCGUCUGAUGGUUUAGCAGGUUCGCAGGACGCAUUGGCGCGGGCGCACAUUCUUCGUGGGUGUGCGCGCACAGCAGCCCCAUCACGCACAUCUUGUGGAUUUUUUUAUUUUAUUUAUUUUUUAAAUCACGAGCGAGCUCGCGUACAUGGUGCGCUUGUCUCGUCCGUCGUCAGGAGUUCGUCUCACUUCACGAAUAGAAAAAUGUGGCCGGGUAUAGUGGUGAUACUUUGGUUAUGCGGAGACUCGAUGGCCGGCUUUCCGAAUCAAAUCAACAUCGGCGGACUCUUCAUGCGCUCUACAGUCCAGGAGCACAGCGCCUUCAGGUUUGCGGUGCAGCUGUACAACACUAACCAGAACGCGACGGAGAAACCUUUCCACCUCAACUAUAAUGUCGACAACCUGGAGUCAUCCAACAGCUUUUCCGUCACACACGCCUUCUGCUCUCAGUUCUCCCGAGGAGUCUACGCCAUCUUCGGCUUCUACGACAGGAGGUCGAUGAACACGCUGACCUCCUUCUGCGGAGCGCUGCACACAUCCUUCAUUACCCCCAGCUUCCCCAUCGACGCCGACGCACAGUUUGUCAUUCAGAUGAGGCCCGGCUUGCGAGGCGCCGUUUUAAGUCUACUGGACCAUUACAAGUGGGAGAAGUUUGUCUACCUCUACGACACCGACAGAGGUUUUGCCAUCCUCCAGGCCAUUAUGGAGUCGGCUGUGGCCAACAACUGGCAGGUGACCGCCCGCUCAGUGGGCAACAUCGCGGACCCCACCGAUUAUCGCCGCAUCAUUGAGGAGAUGGACCGCCGGCAGGAGAAACGCUUCCUCGUCGACUGCGAGGUGAACAGGAUCAACGCCAUUCUCGAGCAGGUGGUGAUUGCGGGCAAAAACACCAGAGGAUACCACUAUAUCCUUGCCAACCUGGGUUUUUCCAACAUGAGCUUGGACAGGGUGUUUUCUGGUGGAGCCAACAUCACAGGUUUCCAGAUCAUCAACCCAGAGAGCGCCAUUGUGCAGCAGUUCCUCCAACGCUGGGAGCGUCUUGAUGAAAGAGAAUUCCCAGAAGCUAAAAACACUCCACUAAAGUACACAUCGGCACUGACCCAUGAUGCCAUCCUCAUCAUCUCUGAGGCCUUCCGCUACCUUCGACGCCAGCGCGUGGACGUGUCCCGCAGGGGAAGCGCAGGCGACUGUCUCGCUAAUCCUGCUGUGCCCUGGAGUCAAGGCAUUGAUAUCGAGAGAGCUCUGAAAAUGGUACAAGUUCAAGGCAUGACAGGAAAUAUCCAAUUUGACACAUUCGGGCGAAGAGCCAACUACACGAUCGAUGUGUACGAAAUGAAGUCAGGAGGCCCUAGGAAGAUCGGCUACUGGAAUGAAUAUGAAAAAUUUGUAUAUGUAAUGGAUCAGCAGGUCACCAACGAGUCGUCUUCUGUGGAAAACCGAACAAUUGUGGUCACUACUAUUAUGGAAGCGCCAUAUGUGAUGUACAAGAAAAACUAUAUGCAGCUGGAUGGGAAUGACCGAUACGAAGGCUACUGUGUCGAUUUAGCGUCCGAAAUUGCAAAGCACGUGGGGAUAAGAUAUAAGCUCUCGGUGGUUCCGGAUGGGAAGUACGGAGCCAGAGAUCCAGAGACCAAGACGUGGAACGGGAUGGUGGGUGAACUGGUUUAUGGGAGAGCUGACAUAGCAGUGGCUCCUCUCACUAUAACGUUGGUACGAGAAGAAGUGAUAGACUUCUCCAAGCCUUUUAUGAGCUUGGGGAUCUCCAUUAUGAUAAAGAAGCCUCAAAAGUCCAAGCCUGGGGUUUUUUCCUUCCUGGACCCGCUGGCCUAUGAGAUUUGGAUGUGUAUAGUGUUCGCCUAUAUCGGCGUGAGCGUGGUGCUGUUCCUGGUGAGCCGAUUCAGUCCUUACGAGUGGCAUCUGGAUGAGAACGAUGAGGCCAAAGACCCUCAGAGCCCCCCCGACCCGCCCAACGACUUUGGCAUUUUUAAUAGCCUGUGGUUCUCGCUGGGUGCCUUCAUGCAGCAAGGAUGCGAUAUCUCGCCAAGGUCACUCUCAGGCCGCAUAGUCGGAGGAGUGUGGUGGUUCUUCACCCUCAUCAUCAUCUCCUCCUACACGGCCAACCUGGCUGCUUUCCUCACCGUGGAGAGGAUGGUUUCUCCCAUCGAGAGUGCCGAGGACUUGGCCAAGCAGACAGAAAUCGCCUAUGGCACGUUAGACUCAGGCUCCACAAAGGAGUUCUUUAGGCGCUCCAAAAUUGCCGUUUAUGAGAAAAUGUGGUCAUACAUGAAAUCAGCUGAGCCGUCGGUGUUUGCCAAGACAACACCCGACGGGGUCUCCCGGGUACGAAAGUCGAAGGGCAAGUUCGCCUUUCUCCUGGAGUCCACAAUGAAUGAGUACAUAGAGCAGCGCAAGCCCUGCGACACCAUGAAAGUGGGCGGAAACCUCGACUCGAAAGGCUACGGCGUGGCCACGCCCAAAGGCUCUGCAUUAAGAAAUGCUGUUAACCUGGCAGUGUUAAAACUGAAUGAGCAAGGCCUCUUGGACAAAUUGAAAAACAAAUGGUGGUACGACAAAGGAGAGUGCGGCAGCGGGGGAGGUGACUCUAAGGUCAGCCUCAAUGUCACCAAAGUCGGGUGUCCUAAAAGAGAGUAAUCGGCAAGGCUGACGUCACUUUCAAAAUCAACGGCGGCUUCAUUCUGGAUGAUUCUUCAUCUCAGUUCUCUUUAUUUACUGCCGCUGAGAUCAAGUGGGAACCCUUUCCUUGGCUCAUGAAGAAAGGAUGAAUGAGUGACGCGUGACUAUUUUUGGGUCUUUUGGCGUGUGGCUAGGAAAGACGGCCAGCGUUUAUGAAGCCUGCUUUUUCUAACCGCAUGCCAACGUUGUUAAGGUUAAUAUUCAAAACCUCCAAACAUGCGCUCUCUGCCGGGCGCUAUAGUUCAGGCUCAGGGAACAGCGUUGUCUUGAGGGGAUGAAGCAUUACAGGCAAACGUGAGAAUUCUAAACAGACGAGUAACGCUCAGCACAUUUAGUCGAUCUUCACACAAGUUUCCAUGGUCACCCCCAUGUGGUGGGUGCAAUGACACCUGCACAAUGACACCGGGGGCCCCAUUUGUGCCAUUUACACCAUCACAUCUGUGUCCAGUUUUUUUUUUUUGGUACAAAAAUUAUAUCUGGCAAUUUCUUGCUUUUGGUCAGACUUUACUACACCAGUGCAGUGAAUUCCUGUUUCUCGUGUAGGAUAUGUUCCAUUACCUAAUCACCACAAGUGGGACCAACAAUAUAGAGAGACUAUUUAAGAACAAGUUUAAAAAUAAUGAAUCCACAACUAAUCGAUUACCAAAUUAACUUGCUUCCAGCUGUUUUUGUCACUCCCAGUUGAGGUUUACUGUAGAACUGACCCAUAACAAAGGGAAUUAAACAUUGUAUAUCUAAACAUGAACAUUUUAACCAAACUAUACACAGAAUUACAAUUCUACUAGCUUAAAGCUAACGUGCAAUGCCAAUCACCAUAGAUGAGCUCAUAGAAAUUAGCAUUGAUGUUACGGUACUUUAAAUAUACAGCAAUACUCACAGGUGUAUACAUGUUUUAUUGUCAAUUACUGAAGUUUAGUUGGGAACCUUCUCAACUUCCUCUUCUGGCUCUUAAUUUCCCGACUGUUUCCUAGUGCUGCCGGGCAUGUUGUGGCAUAAUGCGGCAUACUACACUAAAGACACAAAACUUCGACUGACAAGUGAGCAUGUCUCCUUAUAGUAGCAUUGCUCAAACAACAAAAUACCACGACAGUCUUGGACUUUUUCUGCAGUACUUCUGGAUAUGUUCACUACCACAAUGUGCAAGUUUCCACAUUGUUCUGUGCAUAUGCUUUUGUCGAUGUCACCAAUGAGGCUCCGGACAGUGAGCAGCGGUCACACAAUAGUCACACCGCGCACCCAUCUUUGCUACCCUUUGCCUUCCUUUCAGAUUGCAGCACAACGUCACAGAAUGAAAUUGCCAAAGAGGAAACGACCCCAAGUCAUCUUCUCACCUCUCCCGGCUAAGCAUGAUACGGAUACUCACGGGGGGUGGUGAGGGCGGGUCCUCUAACCGAGCAGUCUCCUCUCGACUCCGACAUUGUGCCUCCAUUCAGUUCCUUUAAAUCACCGCGGUUUGCCUGGGGGAAAUGUAUUGUACACAACAACCACUGAGGAUAGAGAACAUUCAUGGAAAUCUCUAAUUAGUCACAGUGUGGAUUUACAGAAACUAAAUUCAAAUGUGACGCACAGAAAUAUUUACGUCACCGUGUGAUAUUAUGUAUGUCCAAUGCUGCACUGGGUCAACAUUUACGGGUGUCUGUUGCCUUGCAGUCAAACGAAAGGGCAAAGUUUUGUAAAAAACUCGCGAGUGUGUUUGCAUGAAUUUGCCAGUCUAAAGAUUUACUCCACAUUGGCAACUCUACUGUGACAAAUAAUAUCGGGUAACCUUGCAGGGUGGGUUGGAAUGACUUUAUUGGUCCUUCAUUGUUUUAUAAAAUUUGAAUAUGAUCCAGAAGAGGUGGACGGAAUUUGUGUUGAUAUCACAAUAAUGAAAUACAAGCAGUCAGCUCUGUGAACCACAACAGUAUGAAUGGCCCUUACAGUCGAGUUAGACAUAAAAUGACAAACGUAGACACCACUUUUACGAAAAUGGCAAUAGAACAUACCAUCAACUCGCUUCCACUUCUCCCGCACCUAAACACACAGUUGAUUGCAAUGCUAAGCAGGUGUGCCCUGUGGAGGUUCCGCCCAUCCACCUGUGACUUAAAAAAAAUACAACCAUCCAAUUCGACACAAACAUUCAUCCAUUUUCUAAUGCGUUUAUCCUCACGAGGGUCACCGGUGUGCCGUAGCCUACCCGAGUUGUCUUCGGGUAGCAGGCUGGGUACACCCUGAACUAGUUGCCAACCAAUCCACACACAGAUGAACGACCAUUUGCACUCCAUGGGACAAUUUAGAAUGUUCUAUUAACCUGCCAUACAUCCAUACAUGUUUUUUGAAUGUGGGAGGAAACCAGAGUAUCUAAAGAAAACCCACGUAGGCACGAGGGGCGGGGGGCAUGCAAACUCCACACAGGAAGGAGUCACAAAAAGGCAUAAAUGGUGUCAACCUUCAGCAUGUCGUGUAACGAGUAGUGAAUCAUUGACCAAAUGGAGAAAAUUCUCGAGGUCAAAUAAGUUCACCCUUUAAGGUUCAAGUGCAUUUUAGAAUCUUCUGAGUAUUUCACUCAAACGCCCACUAACUCUCCUUAAUUUUGAGUGUGUCACUGUCACACCCCUUUUGCAUUUUGUUAGUCAACAAAGGGUUCCUGUUUGAUCCAGCUUGUUGGCAGCCAUAAGGAGCCUUCAGCUUUGGAAAACCGCAACUCACCUUGAGGAAGCCGUCCGCACUCGACUAACUUAUGCGUUGCGGUCAGUGUGUGCCGAUUACUCCAAGCGACACGGGUAGGGUCUGGCACGCUCGGGUAUCUAGGUUCAGGUCAUACCUAACUUGUGUACUGCCAUGUAUUUCCCGAUUUAGCGUUGCUCGCUACGUGUCACGUCUUGGCCAGCACCCUGCUCGUGGUCGCUUUGCACAGUUAUCGAGUCGUUGACAAAGUUGAAUAACAUAAAAUAACAUCAUCAAAUGUUAUUUAUGUUAUUUCCCACGUGAAGCACUCCAGUAAACCUCGCAGUAUUGAAACUCAGUGAACAAGGCAUCUUAGACAAGCUGAAAAACAAAUGGUGGUACGAUAAAGGUGAAUGUGGAACCAAGGACUCGGGAAGUAAGGACAAGACAAGUGCACUAAGCCUGAGCAAUGUGGC
RNA transcript from Hippocampus zosterae (dwarf seahorse), 5953 nucleotides. It is a transcript of the gene named glutamate receptor 3, with no coding region annotated. The transcript has 15 exons. The record is from RefSeq and is a predicted model, not a curated record. Lineage: Eukaryota; Metazoa; Chordata; Actinopteri; Syngnathiformes; Syngnathidae.